Molecule: ribosomal RNA, 1498 nt
Filed under: human gut metagenome
Description: bacterial LSU rRNA
Rfam family: Bacterial large subunit ribosomal RNA
Source: RNAcentral
AUAGCGCAUAGUACCGUGAGGGAAAGGUGAAAAGAACCCCGGGAGGGGAGUGAAAGAGAACCUGAAACCGUAUGUCUACAAGCAGUCGGAGCGAAAGCGACGGCGUGCCUAUUGAAGAAUGAACCAACGAGUUACGUGCACUAGCGAGGUUAAGUGGAAGACACGGAGCCGAAGCGAAAGCGAGUCUUAAGAGGGCGAAUAGUUAGUGUACGUAGACCCGAAACCGCAGUGAUCUACCCAUGUCCAGGUUGAAGCGCAGGUAAAAUUGCGUGGAGGACCGAACCUGUGAGCGUUGAAAAGCUUUAGGAUGAGAUGUGGGUAGAGGUGAAAUUCCAAUCGAACGCGGAGAUAGCUGGUUCUCCCCGAAAUAGCUUUAGGGCUAGCCUCAAGUAGUAAGUAUAGGCGGUAGAGCACUGAUCGGGCUAGGGGCCAUAAAGGUUACCGAACCCUGUCAAACUCCGAAUGGUUAUACUGUAGAGCUUGGGAGUCAGACUACGAGUGAUAAGAUCCGUGGUCAAAAGGGAAACAGCCCAGACCACCAGCUAAGGUCCCCAAUGUCGUACUAAGUGGAAAAGGAUGUGGGGUCUCUAAAACAACCAGGAUGUUGGCUUAGAAGCAGCCACCAUUUAAAGAGUGCGUAAUAGCUCACUGGUCGAGAGACCCUGCGCCGAAGAUUACCGGGGCUAAAGUACGAAACCGAAGCUGUGGCUACGACGUAAGUCGUGGGGUAGGGGAGCGUUCUGUGAGGGCUGAAGUCGUUCUGUAAGGAACGGUGGACUUCACAGAAGUGAGAAUGUUGGUAUGAGUAGCGAAAAGAAUGGUGAGAAUCCAUUCCACCGAAAGCAUAAGGAUUCCUGGGCAACGAUCGUCGUCCCAGGGUAAGUCGGGACCUAAUCCGAGGCAUGGAGCGUAGGAGAUGGACAACUGGCAGAUAUUCCAGUACCGGUAAUGAUUGUUUGAGCGAUGGAGUGACACAGGAGGGCAGGCAGGCAGGAGAUUGGUUGUUCCUGUACAAGCGUGUAUGGUGGAACGUAGGCAAAUCCGCGUUCUGAGAGCCUGAGGCGUGAUGUGGAGGUUCCGGAAACGGAACCGAAGCUGCUGACCCCACACUGUCGAGAAAAGCUUCUAGUUAGAGAAUUACCGCCCGUACCGUAAACCGACACAGGUAUGCGGGGAGAGAAUCCUAAGGUGCGCGGGAGAACCCUCGUUAAGGAACUCGGCAAAAUGUACCCGUAACUUCGGGAUAAGGGUAGCCGCUGUUGUGAAGUCUGUACAGAUGGAGCAUGAGGCGGUCGCAGAGAAGAGGCCCAAGCGACUGUUUACCACAAACACAGGUGCCUGCUAAAGAGAAAUCUGACGUAUAGGUGCUGACACCUGCCCAGUGCCGGAAGGUUAAGGAAGGAUGUCCGGAGCAAUCCAAAGCAUUCGACCGAAGCCCCGGUGAACGGCGGCCGUAACUAUAACGGUCCUAAGGUAGCGAAAUUCCUUGUCGGGUAAG